AGCAGCAUAGCAUAGUGGUAAGGAGUAGGGCUUGUAACCGAAAGGUUGCUGGUUCGAUUCCCAGCUGGGGCAC
RNAcentral lists this transfer RNA (73 nucleotides) under Megalops atlanticus (tarpon). RNAcentral's name for it is "tRNA-OTHER". Lineage: Eukaryota; Metazoa; Chordata; Actinopteri; Elopiformes; Megalopidae. The record is from RNAcentral.